AUUGAACGCUGGCGGCAGGCCUAACACAUGCAAGUCGAACGAGUGGCGGACGGGUGAGUAAUGUCUGGGAAACUGCCCGAUGGAGGGGGAUAACUACUGGAAACGGUAGCUAAUACCGCAUACCAUCGGAUGUGCCCAGAGGGGAUUAGCUAGUAGGUGGGGUAACGACUCACCUAGGCGACGAUCCCUAGCUGGUCUGAGAGGAUGACCAGCCACACGUGAACUGAGACACGGUACAGACUCCUACGGGAGGGAGGAGUGGAGAAUAUUGCAAAAUGGGCGCAAGCCUGAUGCAGCCAUGCCGCGUGUAUGAAGAAGGCCAUCGGGUUGUAAAGUACUUUCAGCGAGGAGGCGUUACUCGAAGAAGAAGCACCGGCUAACUCCGUGCCAGCAGCCGCGGUAAUAC
RNAcentral lists this ribosomal RNA (406 nucleotides) under uncultured bacterium. Its description in RNAcentral is "partial 16S ribosomal RNA". It matches the Rfam family "Bacterial small subunit ribosomal RNA", at positions 30 to 526 of the family's 1533-position model. The record is from RNAcentral.